RNAcentral lists this ribosomal RNA (392 nucleotides) under uncultured bacterium. RNAcentral describes it as "partial 16S ribosomal RNA". It matches the Rfam family "Bacterial small subunit ribosomal RNA", at positions 523 to 918 of the family's 1533-position model. The record is from RNAcentral.
AUACGUAGGUGGCAAGCGUUAUCCGGAAUUAUUGGGCGUAAAGAGGGAGCAGGCGGCAGCAAGGGUCUGUGGUGAAAGCCUGAAGCUUAACUUCAGUAAGCCAUAGAAACCAGGCAGCUAGAGUGCAGGAGAGGAUCGUGGAAUUCCAUGUGUAGCGGUGAAAUGCGUAGAUAUAUGGAGGAACACCAGUGGCGAAGGCGACGAUCGGGCCUGCAACUGACGCUCAGUCCCGAAAGCGUGGGGAGCAAAUAGGAUUAGAUACCCUAGUAGUCCACGCCGUAAACGAUGAGUACUAAGUGUUGGAUGUCAAAGUUCAGUGCUGCAGUUAACGCAAUAAGUACUCCGCCUGAGUAGUACGUUCGCAAGAAUGAAACUCAAAGGAAUUGACGGGG